Molecule: long non-coding RNA, 988 nt
Organism: Onthophagus taurus
Lineage: Eukaryota; Metazoa; Arthropoda; Insecta; Coleoptera; Scarabaeidae
Source: RefSeq, a predicted model, not a curated record
UCAAUAUCCUCUACAAUGAAGUUUCGUAUCGUUGUAUUUUUGUUAUUUAUAAUGAUGAUCUAUUCAAUAUCAACAUCUGACCAAGAACUUCCUCGCAGCCUAGACGAGUAUAUUCCAAAAAAAGACGGUCAAAUAAGUUUUAAUAGACCCUAUAACUGCUACAUGGUUCGAUGCCGUGACGCAGAAGAAUGCAGUGAAGAUGAUAUUCUUCAACGACGUGAUGCGAUCUGGUGUUUCUGUUGCAAAAUCCCUAUUUCAAAGACAGGUAUAAAAUGUUUUAAUUACACGUCCAAGGUUAAUUUAAUAAAACUUUUUAAAAGAAAAUAAGCUGUGAUUCAAAAUAUUACAAAUUACAUCAAUACAAACUUUCGGAUUAUAUAAAAGAUUAAUUUACACUUUUUACAAAAAAGAAAACAACAAAAAAGUUUGUAAAACCUUAUUUUGGUCAAAAAUACUUAAAAGGAGUAUUACUCAACAUUUUUAUUCUAAUUUUGGAUUUUGUCAUCAAAAUAUAAUUGGGAACAUUUUGGUGUACAAUCGUCCAAGAAACGUAACUAUUUCCAUCAACGUUAUAUGUAAUUUGAUGUUGAAAUAAAGAAAAUAAAAAAUAAUAAGGAAACUACGAGGAAUAAAUAAUGGAAAUAAAAUAAUGGAACAAAUGGAAUUAAAUAAUUAACAAUUAGACCGAAGGUUUUCCCAAAUAAAAGAUUUAUAUACUGAGGGAAAUUAUUCUUGACCAAUCUUUUAUAUCAAAAAAUUCAUUCUUCCCGCAAUAAUUUAUAAUACUUAAAUGAAGAGUUAUACAAGAUUAUUGUUACAUGAAUAAGUUUUUUUUAAAAAGAAAGAUACCAGCGACAGGAGCAUGCACAAUAGAGUCAAACUUAGCACAUCGAAAUCUGAUGAUAUAUGUAAUACAAGGUGGUCCAUUUCACGUGAGACAAGCGAUUAUCUCAAAAACGAUGACCAAAUGAAAGUUGUUCUGUGCGAA